UACUUGACAUGAGCGUAAUCUAGGAGUCCGGGACCAAUACAGAGAAGAUUAGCAUGGCCCCGGAGCAAGGAUGACUGGCACAAAUCAAGAAGUAUUUUACUCAGAU
Molecule: non-coding RNA, 106 nt
Organism: Punica granatum (pomegranate)
Lineage: Eukaryota; Viridiplantae; Streptophyta; Magnoliopsida; Myrtales; Lythraceae
Source: Rfam